This 300-nucleotide ribosomal RNA is filed under the name uncultured Pseudomonadota bacterium. Its description in RNAcentral is "bacterial SSU rRNA". It matches the Rfam family "Bacterial small subunit ribosomal RNA", at positions 29 to 351 of the family's 1533-position model. Lineage: Bacteria; Pseudomonadati; Pseudomonadota. The record is from RNAcentral.
AGCGAACGCUAGCGGCGGGCCUAACACAUGCAAGUCGAGCGCGUACCUUCGGGUACGAGCGGCGGACGGGUGAGUAACACGUAGGUAAUCUACCCUCUGGUGGGGAAUAACCCGGGGAAACCCGGGCUAAUACCGCAUAUGGCCUUCGGGUCAAAGCCUUCGGGCGCCAGAGGUUGAGCCUGCGGCGCAUUACCUAGUUGGUAGGGUAAUGGCCUACCAAGGGAACGAUGCGUAGCUGGUCUGAGAGGAUGAUCAGCCACACUGGGACUGAGACACGGCCCAGACUCCUACGGGAGGCAG